RNAcentral lists this ribosomal RNA (497 nucleotides) under uncultured bacterium. RNAcentral's name for it is "partial 16S ribosomal RNA". It matches the Rfam family "Bacterial small subunit ribosomal RNA", at positions 28 to 507 of the family's 1533-position model. The record is from RNAcentral.
GAUGAACGCUGGCGGCGUGCCUAAUACAUGCAAGUCGAGCGAACGGACGAGAAGCUUGCUUCUCUGAUGUUAGCGGCGGACGGGUGAGUAACACGUGGAUAACCUACCUAUAAGACUGGGAUAACUUCGGGAAACCGGAGCUAAUACCGGAUGAUAUUUUGAACCGCAUGGUUCAAAAGUGAAAGACGGUCUUGCUGUCACUUAUAGAUGGAUCCGCGCUGCAUUAGCUAGUUGGUAAGGUAACGGCUUACCAAGGCAACGAUGCAUAGCCGACCUGAGAGGGUGAUCCGCCACCCUGGAACUGAGACACGGUCCAGACUCCUACGGGAGGCAGCCGUAGGGAAUCUUCCGCAAUGGGCGAAAGCCUGACGGAGCAACGCCGCGUGAGUGAUGAAGGUCUUCGGAUCGUAAAACUCUGUUAUUAGGGAAGAACAUAUGUGUAAGUAACUGUGCACAUCUUGACGGUACCUAAUCAGAAAGCCACGGCUAACUCCGUG